Molecule: long non-coding RNA, 603 nt
Organism: Rosa rugosa (rugosa rose)
Lineage: Eukaryota; Viridiplantae; Streptophyta; Magnoliopsida; Rosales; Rosaceae
Exons: 4
Source: RefSeq, a predicted model, not a curated record
GAAAAAGCAUAUCCAAAUCGGGAGAACCCGAUUCUUCCUUCCCCUUUCUCCUUCUUUUCGCGCACAGUAACUGGAGAAAACAUUUCCGGCUAAUUUGUCGUCGUCAAGCCACCCCAAGUCGUCUCACCGGUCAGAAAGCUUCCUCUCUUCCUCCUCUUCCAUCUCAGCUUGAAUCGACCGGUAGAGGAGAAAUUCGAGAUGAACAGUAGCGUGAACAGUAGCUGACGAGUUCUUGGUUUUUGGUUGAUUUUUCCGGCUAUUUCUGCUUGAUUUUUGGUUGUGGUUGCAGGACGUACUGAUCCCUCGAGCGAGGAGGACACGGGCAGGCAGCAGGAUUAGCUGCGAGACUCACCAAUUUUCAGAUUUGCCGAGGCCGCGUCCAGGAACUUGAGGCAUAGGAAUCUGCGCUUCCGUUUUGACUGUAGGUUAAUACUUAACCUACCUUGUAUGAUAUCGGCUUAGUUAUGUAGCACUGCUCUGAUAACCUUUUAAAUUUGGAGAAUGUUAUUCCCUGAGAAUUUGUUAUUGUAGUGAAGUUAAGAUGGGAUUCAUACUUUCGGAAUGUAACAUAUAGACUUGGAAUGUAAAUGUUGGAAUGUGUAU